CCUCUUUAGCCAAGAGCGGCCUCCUGCUGAGCCUGGGCCAGGCUCCCUGAAUCACAGAGGGGAGCCGGAGGAACUGGGGGAAAGGCCUGGUAGGCCAUGGUGCCCAGAGCCCUGCCAACUGAGGCUUGGGGCACGCAUGACCAACAGCACACAGCAGCGCUGGGGGCCUGAAACCCCAGGCCCUGCUGGCCCGAGGGGGCUGAUCAGCUAUGCUCUGUCUUUUCCAUUUCAGUCACUACCAGGAGAGGAGGGGGCCAGUGAGGAAACAGCUGAACAGUCACCAGGCCUGAGGGAGAAAUGAGGACAGCAGCUCUCACCGUGCAUAUAGGGAAGGAGCGUGACAGUCCUCACUCCACCCAUCUUUCUUAGAGAAUCAGUUUCCAAAUACAGAAUUUCCCAGGGAGUCAACAAACAAUCAAGCGGAGGUGGAGCCCGAUUUGUUCAGAAAUUGACCAAGAUAUGUUUGCAGUCUUGGAAAAACACAUCCCUAAAAUGACUCUGUGGCUCAGGCAGAUACCUGAGCCUAGAAGGAUGCUCCCACCCCUACCUGUGACUGUUGCAGCUGCAGCCUUGACCCCAUGACCAGCCUCUGAAUCCUCUGUAGAUUGUACCCAAGCAUUUCUCAAAUAAACAUGUGUCAUAAAAACACAA
This is a long non-coding RNA of Marmota monax (woodchuck), 651 nucleotides long. RefSeq lists it as uncharacterized. The transcript is spliced from 3 exons. NCBI's taxonomy places the organism in Eukaryota, Metazoa, Chordata, Mammalia, Rodentia, Sciuridae. The record is from RefSeq and is a predicted model, not a curated record.